AUCCAGCUGACGAGUCCCAAAUAGGACGAGAUGCCCAUCUUGGAU
RNAcentral lists this non-coding RNA (45 nucleotides) under Trichobilharzia regenti. The record is from RNAcentral. Lineage: Eukaryota; Metazoa; Platyhelminthes; Trematoda; Strigeidida; Schistosomatidae.